This 633-nucleotide ribosomal RNA is filed under the name Carabus pseudomonticola pseudomonticola. RNAcentral describes it as "eukaryotic LSU rRNA". It matches the Rfam family "Eukaryotic large subunit ribosomal RNA", at positions 672 to 1262 of the family's 3401-position model. Lineage: Eukaryota; Metazoa; Arthropoda; Insecta; Coleoptera; Carabidae. The record is from RNAcentral.
AGUCUAGCAUGUGCGCGAGUCAUUGGGACUCAAUAAACCUAAAGGCGCAAUGAAAGUGAAAGUCUGUUUACGCGGACUUAGGGAGGAUAGGUGCGUACACUUGUGUACAACCUCGCACUCCCGGGGCGUCUCGCACUCAUUGCGAGGUGGGGCGCACCAAGAGCGUACACGCUGGGACCCGAAAGAUGGUGAACUAUGCCUGGUCAGGACGAAGUCAGGGGAAACCCUGAUGGAGGUCCGUAGCGAUUCUGACGUGCAAAUCGAUCGUCGGAACUGGGCUUAGGGGCGAAAGACUAAUCGAACCAUCUAGUAGCUGGUUCCCACCGAAGUUUCCCUCAGGAUAGCUGGCACUAGAUUAUGGAUGAGUCUCAUCCGGUAAAGCGAAUGAUUAGAGGCAUUGGGGUCGAAACGGCCUCAACCUAUUCUCAAACUUUAAAUGGGUGAGAUCUCCGGCUUGCUCGAUUUGUGAAGCCGGAGAUCGGAUCAAUUAGUGCCAAGUGGGCCACUUUUGGUAAGCAGAACUGGCGCUGUGGGAUGAACCAAACGCAGAGUUAAAGCGCCAAAAUCGACGCUUAUGGGAUACCAUGAAAGGCGUUGGUAACUUAAGACAGCAGGACGGUGGCCAUGGAAGUC